RNAcentral lists this ribosomal RNA (252 nucleotides) under uncultured bacterium. Its description in RNAcentral is "partial 16S ribosomal RNA". It matches the Rfam family "Bacterial small subunit ribosomal RNA", at positions 524 to 776 of the family's 1533-position model. The record is from RNAcentral.
UACGGAGGAUGCGAGCGUUAUCCGGAUUUAUUGGGUUUAAAGGGUGCGUAGGCGGGAUGCCAAGUCAGCGGUAAAAAUGCGGUGCUCAACGCCGUCGAGCCGUUGAAACUGGCGUUCUUGAGUGGGCGAGAAGUAUGCGGAAUGCGUGGUAUAGCGGUGAAAUGCAUAGAUAUCACGCAGAACUCCGAUUGCGAAGGCGGCAUACCGGCGCCCUACUGACGCUGAGGCACGAAAGCGUGGGUAUCGAACAGG